CCUACGGGAGGCAGCAGUGAGGAAUAUUGGUCAAUGGUCGGGAGACUGAACCAGCCAAGCCGCGUGAGGGAUGAAGGUACAGAGUAUCGUAAACCUCUUUUGUCAGGGAACAAAGGCGGGGACGUGUCCCCGGAUGAGUGUACCUGAAGAAAAAGCAUCGGCUAACUCCGUGCCAGCAGCCGCGGUAAUACGGAGGGUGCAAGCGUUACUCGGAAUCACUGGGCGUAAAGAGUGCGUAGGCGGGGUAAUAAGUCAGGUGUGAAAUCCUGUGGCUUAACUACAGAACAGCAUUUGAAACUGGUACUCUGGAGUGUGGGAGAGGUAGGUGGAAUGCGUGGUGUAGGGGUGAAAUCCGUAGAGAUCAAGAAGAAUACUCAUUGCGAAGGCAGCCUGCUGGAACAUUACUGACGCUGAGGCACGAAAGCGUGGGGAGCAAACAGGAUUAGAUACCCUUGUAGUC
Molecule: ribosomal RNA, 460 nt
Filed under: uncultured bacterium
Lineage: Bacteria
Description: partial 16S ribosomal RNA
Rfam family: Bacterial small subunit ribosomal RNA
Source: RNAcentral